AGAAUGAAUAAGAAACAAUAAAACCUCAUAUCUCCUCAGACUGGGAUGGGUCGAUGCUCGGCAGUCAUUGUUUUAGUGAUGCUGGUGUUAUUCUUUCGUUCAGACUGUCGUCUCCUUGACUCUGUCAAUAAAUAUGAGGGGAAGAUGGGUGUAAAAGAGAAGAUGAAAAAGAGAACCGACGAAAAAGCAGGAACUUUCUACCCCAGGGAAGAGCUUCAAUGGAUACAUUCCCCAGACGAACAUUGCUUGGACCCAUGUUAAUUUAAAAACAAUAAAAUUAACAAUAUGUAAUAG
Long non-coding RNA from Cryptomeria japonica (Japanese cedar), 294 nucleotides. RefSeq lists it as uncharacterized. The record is from RefSeq and is a predicted model, not a curated record. The transcript is spliced from 3 exons. Lineage: Eukaryota; Viridiplantae; Streptophyta; Pinopsida; Cupressales; Cupressaceae.